Molecule: ribosomal RNA, 646 nt
Filed under: bacterium 55-L049658-122-015-G07
Lineage: Bacteria
Description: bacterial SSU rRNA
Rfam family: Bacterial small subunit ribosomal RNA
Source: RNAcentral
CCAUUGGAGCUUGCUCCAUUGGUUUAGCGGCGGACGGGUGAGUAACACGUGGGCAACCUGCCCUGCAGAUCGGGAUAACUCCGGGAAACCGGUGCUAAUACCGAAUAGUUUGCGGCCUCUCCUGAAGCUGCACGGAAAGACGGUUUCGGCUGUCACUGCAGGAUGGGCCCGCGGCGCAUUAGCUAGUUGGUGGGGUAAUGGCCCACCAAGGCCACGAUGCGUAGCCGACCUGAGAGGGUGAUCGGCCACACUGGGACUGAGACACGGCCCAGACUCCUACGGGAGGCAGCAGUAGGGAAUCUUCCGCAAUGGACGCAAGUCUGACGGAACAACGCCGCGUGAGUGACGAAGGUUUUCGGAUCGUAAAACUCUGUUGUGAGGGAAGAACACGUACCAGGUAACUACUGGUACCUUGACGGUACCUCACCAGAAAGCCACGGCUAACUACGUGCCAGCAGCCGCGGUAAUACGUAGGUGGCAAGCGUUGUCCGGAAUUAUUGGGCGUAAAGCGCGCGCAGGCGGUCCUUUAAGUCUGAUGUGAAAGCCCACGGCUCAACCGUGGAGGGUCAUUGGAAACUGGAGGACUUGAGUGCAGAAGAAGAAAGUGGAAUUCCAUGUGUAGCGGUGAAAUGCGUAAAGAUGUGGA